UCUUGCUACUUCUAUCUUGCCACCCAGCCUUGCCUCGGUCCUGCCCCUGCCUUGAACCCCUCCUUGCAUGCUUCCCUGCUCUCUCCCCCUUGGCUCUGCCUUCCAAGUUCUGACUCCAUCUCUGACCCUAGUUCUUGGUUCCAGAUGCCUGCACUGACCACUAGGCUAGAGCACCUUCCUUCCGCUUCUCUGACACAAGGGAAGGUAUUUGAGAUCCAUGGGUCAGAGUUCAAGCUAUGUCAUUGGUCACCUCUGUUACAUGGUAUUGCUGCUCUUCCCUCAGUACAUGACCUACAAUUUAUAAAGAGGGAGGCCUGGAUGACUCAGUGUGACUUCAAUUCCCGAAAGGGGAAGACAGAGAGACUGUCCAGUUCCACAAACAGUUAGCACAGUCUCAUGCUCCAGGCUCAGGUUGGACACUGCCCUCUGAACAGGGGCCCGUGCUACCACUACUUGAACAUUUUGAUGGGCACCGCCGAACGUUCAGAGGGUUCCUGAACCAAUGCCAUCUCUUUUUCCUGCUCCACCCUUGAAUUUGUCCCACUGCCCAGGCCAGGGUGGGACUAGAGAUCAGUUUGCUAGCUGGAGAAGGAUUGGAUUGGCCUCCCCCAUGCUGAAGCAGGACCAUCCAGUGCCA
Mauremys reevesii (Reeves's turtle) is the source of this 637-nucleotide long non-coding RNA. RefSeq lists it as uncharacterized. The record is from RefSeq and is a predicted model, not a curated record. The transcript is spliced from 3 exons. NCBI's taxonomy places the organism in Eukaryota, Metazoa, Chordata, Testudines, Geoemydidae.